UACAGAGGGUGCAAGCGUUAUUCGGAAUUAUUGGGCGUAAAGAGCGCGUAGGCGGUUUAUUAAGUCUGAUGUGAAAGCCCUGGACUCAAUCCAGGAAGUGCAUCGGAUACUGAUAGACUAGAGUACAGGAGAGGAGAGCGGAAUUCCCGGUGUAGAGGUGAAAUUCGUAGAUAUCGGGAGGAACAACAGAGGCGAAGGCGGCUCUCUGGACUGUUACUGACGCUGAGGCGCGAAAGCGUGGGGAGCAAACAGG
Molecule: ribosomal RNA, 253 nt
Filed under: uncultured bacterium
Lineage: Bacteria
Description: partial 16S ribosomal RNA
Rfam family: Bacterial small subunit ribosomal RNA
Source: RNAcentral